Molecule: ribosomal RNA, 253 nt
Filed under: uncultured bacterium
Lineage: Bacteria
Description: partial 16S ribosomal RNA
Rfam family: Bacterial small subunit ribosomal RNA
Source: RNAcentral
UACGUAGGUGGCAAGCGUUGUCCGGAAUUACUGGGUGUAAAGGGUGCGCAGGCGGGACAAUAAGUUGGAUGUGAAAUACCCGGGCUCAACUCGGGUGCUGCAUUCAAAACUAUUGUUCUUGAGUGAAGUAGAGGUAGGCGGAAUUCCCAGUGUAGCGGUGAAAUGCGUAGAUAUUGGGAGGAACACCAGUGGCGAAGGCGGCCUACUGGGCUUUUACUGACGCUGAGGCACGAAAGCAUGGGUAGCAAACAGG